Molecule: long non-coding RNA, 807 nt
Organism: Rosa rugosa (rugosa rose)
Lineage: Eukaryota; Viridiplantae; Streptophyta; Magnoliopsida; Rosales; Rosaceae
Exons: 3
Source: RefSeq, a predicted model, not a curated record
AUUAUCAAAGGCCAAAAAUUUCUCAAAAGACCAAAUUCUGGUUACAAUUGAAUCCAACACAAGCUGGCAGCCCGGACUUCAUCCUCCUUGAUGAUGUAAGCUUCCUCUUCUGCUAUACCUUUUCUAUUGUUAAUUUCUUUAAUUCAUAUGCGAUUUACUCUCUUUGAAGCUAUGCCUUUUUUAUUCUGGUUUUCUCAAAUCUGUCAUUCUUCGAUUGCAAUUUCUUUCAAUUCGGUAGUUAGGCUUUCUUCUUUAUAUUCAUUACAUCUGUUGAAAUAAUAGAGUUUGAAUUUUCGUAGUUUCUGCAAGUUUGCUUUGAUUUCCCAGGGCCUUUUGAAAUUCAGAUAAACAACAUGAGGUGAAGGCGUUCGGUGCAGAAACAUCUUUUAAUUGGAUGCGAACAGUCAAAAGCUUUGUCUCACACUUUCAAUAUCCUAUUGGGUCAGAUUCUCUCUGUUCUUUAGAAGUUAGGACUAUUCAUCGGAUUACUAGUUUACCUUCGAGGAACAGGAAGGGUUGUUGUUCUGUUGGAUUUGCAAGAGGAUUUUCUGCUCUGUUUUGUGCAAGGAAGAGCUGUUCUUCUCUCAUUCCAAGGGUGCUUAUAUAUUCAUGUAACAUUUUAAUUAUAUUAAUUCUUGGGUACCAACUUGAUUUUGAUAGCCAAUAUAUUUAAUUUUGAUCAGUUGAACUUUUAUUGCUUCCCAUUAUGUAAGUUGUUUAUGUUUUUUGUACUAAGAGGUAAGGCCUUAUGUCCCCCUCUUUAUUGUAUUUGUUUUUUUUAUGCUAAUAAAUCAUAUUUCUUGUUAA